RNAcentral lists this long non-coding RNA (6552 nucleotides) under Olea europaea subsp. europaea. The record is from RNAcentral. Lineage: Eukaryota; Viridiplantae; Streptophyta; Magnoliopsida; Lamiales; Oleaceae.
GUUUUAUUUCUCUGUAAAAAUGACAGACUUUACAACCUCCAUUUUACAAUGACUUGCGUACAUUUAAAUACAAAAUCUCCUAUCUCUAUUUUAGGAAAUUAGCCAACAUUUUGCAUAUAUAAAAGUAGCAGGCUAAUUUCAUGGUUAUAAAAAAAUAACAUUUACAGAAAAUUGAUUGACCGUUAUAGGCAUGAUUAUUGGCUAUCUUGCUGGUUUUGAUUCUUGGCUUGAUUUGUGGUGGCUGAUUUUUGCUCCUUGGCUUGAUUAGUGGAAUCUUCCUUCAUACGACCCCGCAAGAUUGGGCUGCCAUCGGCAAGACCAAUCUUGUUUCUCAGUUGUUUCGUACGUUGCUUUGACAGUGGUUUUGAUAGAAUAUAUGCAAGCUGGUCCUGUGUAUUUACAUGAUGAACUUGGAGUGUUCCUUUCUGAACUAUAUCGCGCAUAAAGUUUAGAUCAAUUUGAAUGUGCUUCAUUCGAGAGUGGUGGACUGGAUUGAAACUCAGUUGUGUGGCACCCAAGUUAUCACAAAGUAGCUUUGGUGUGGAUGAUAUAGGGUGGCCAAGUUCUUGAAAUAACUGAAGGAGCCAAAUGGUUUCAGAGGCCACAUUUGCAAGGUCUCUGUACUCGGCCUUGGUUGAUGAUCGAGCAACUUUCCUUUGUUAUUUAGAGUUCCAAGAAAUUGGAUUUGUGCCAAGGAAACAUAUAUAAGCAGAGGUUGAAGUUCUAUCAUCAAAGUUCCCUGCCCAACCUGCAUCGCUGUAUGUGGUAAGAGUUGACGGACUGAAUCUAAUGUGAAUUCCAUGAAAAAUUGUUUGUUUCAAGUAACGAAGGAGCCUCUUUGCAGCCAUCCAAUGAGUUGCAGUAGGUUUAUGCAUGAACUGAGAGAGUUUAGUCACCGUAAAUGAAAUGUCUGGCCUCGUAAGAGAUAGAUAUUGAAGAGCACCUAUAACACUCCUAAAUUCUAUGCUGUCAACGGAGCUGGUUCCAUCAAUGAGUUUGAGGGAUAUAGUGGUUGAUAAUGGUAUGGAUGCAUCUUUUGCACCGAGCAUAUUACUUUUGGACAUGAUAUCUCUAAUGUAUUUAUGCUGAGAUAAGAAGAGACCAGAUUUAGUAGGUAUAACUUCCAUCCCCAGGAAAAAAUUUAGCUGUCCCAUAUCUUCAAAGAGAAACAAUGUCCAAGUUUUGUGAUUACUGAAGCAACAAAUUGAGUAUGCCAGUUAUGACUAAGUCAUCCACAUAUACCAGCAGAAAACAUGUAACCGAGCUGAUUCUGUAUAUAAAUAAUGAAGAAUCUACUUUAGAAUUCAUAAACUCAAGCUCUGUAAUGGUUUUCUUGAGGGCUGAAUACCAUGCUCUUGGUGCUUAUUUUAGGCCAUAGAUGGCCUUGUGUAACUUGCAGACAUGGUUAGGCUUAGAUGUAUCCUUGAACCCCGGAGGUUGAACCAUGUAAACAUUUUCAGUCAACAUCCCAUGUAAGAAUGCAUUGUUGACAUCAAGUUGUCUUAAAAUCUACCCUUGCAUAACAGCAAUAGUCAAAAUAGUUUUUAUUGUUGCCGGCUUUAUAGCCGGACUAAAUGUCUCUUUAUAAUCUAAGCCAGGGCGUUGGUUAUACCCUUUGGCCACAAGUCUUGCUUUAAAGCGAUCAAUAGACCCAUCAGCUUUCCUCUUAACUCAAAAUACCCAUUUAUAGCCUACUAGUUUGCAGUGUGUAGGAGGAGGAACUAAGUCCCAUGUACCAUACCUAAUCAAUGCCGUGAGUUCUUCAGACAUGGCAUGUCUCCAUUUUGGUUCACGGAGUGCUUGACUCACACAGUUUGGUUCAAUAGUUGGUUGAAUAGGAUGUUUUGUAAUUGAGUUUAACUGUUUCGGCUUGUAGAUGUUGUUCAUGGACCGAGUGGUCAUGGUGUGAGUUCGGGUUAUCUCAAAAGGUGGGUUAUAGACUAUGGACUCGAUGAUUUCUGUACAAGGAGUUUGUUUAUCCAUGGUGAGUAAGGGACUUGAGUGAGUGGACUCACUUGUGUGCGACUGGUGUGGUGUGAUCGAAGAAAUUGAGUUUAAAUUGGGGAAAUUUCGAGGAGAGAAAUUAGGGGAAUUACCUGAGGGUGUAGCGGAAGGCGGCGAGCUCUCAGACUAUACUGACAGUGGUUGCGGCACGGGAAUCAUCGAUAUAGGCAGCAUAGAUGGGGAGGAUUUUAGUGCCGGGUUCUUGGGACUUGAUGGGACUUUUGGUUUCAUUGAAGAUAACAUGCCGAGAGAGAUAUGUACGUUUUGUGUUCAUAUCAAAGCACUUGAAUGCAUUUUGGGUUUGGGAAUAGCCUAAGAAUAGGCAUGGGAUGGAUUUAGGUUGGAGUUUAUUUGAGUUGUAGGGCCGGAUUAGAGGAAAACAGAGGCAACCAAAAUUUCUUAACUUGAGAUAAUUUGGUGUUUGUUGAAAUAAGGCUUCAAAUGGUGAUUUAUUUUUUAACAAUUGUGUUGGUUGUCGAUUAAUAAGAUAAGCAGCCGUUUCAAAAGCAUGGGGCCAAUAUGAUAGGGGUAGAGAAGUAUCUUGUAAUAAGGUUAAUCCUGUUUCAACACGAUGACGAUGACGAUGACGACGUUCGGAGACCCCAUUUUGUCGUGGUGUAUGGGGUGCCAUGGUAUAGUGGCUAAUUCCAUGAAAUGAAGGAUAAUUUUUGAGUGCCACAAAUUCACCACAUUAUCGGAAUAGAGACUUUUGAUUCUCUUUUGAAAGCGAUUUUCCACAAGAUUUUUACAUUGUGGAAGCUUACGUCGGAUUUUUUUGUUAAAGGGUAGAACCACACAUAUUUGGUAAAAUGGUUGACCAAAAUCAAAUAAUAUUUAGAACCAUCGAUCCCAAUUGUAUGCGCGGAACCCCAAACGUCGGUGUAGAUGAGAUCAAGGGGUGCAUUGCUUUGUAAACUAGUGGAACGAAAUGGUUGUUGGUGUGCUUUAUUCAUUGAACAAGAAAUACAAAUGUGAGACACUUGGUCUUUUUUUUAUUAAAAGGGAAAAAGAUUUGAUAAGAUAAUGAAUAACUUUUUGAGAUGGAUGUCCAAGCCUCUUGUGCCACCCAUCAAUCGAUGUUCGCUCAUGCACAUUUGCAACCAUUUUUUAAGGAGAGUCCGUUAGGGAGUUUGGGAGCUUGUAAACACCAUUUUCACAUGCACCUUUAAGUAAAGUUGCCCCCGUGGUCUAAUCCUUGACAAGAAAAUAAGUGGGGGUGAAAUUCAAGAAAAAACAUUAUUUUGAGUGGUAAAGUGAUGAAUGGAAAUCAAUUUUUUGCAGAUACUUGGAACACAAAGUAUCAUUUAAAUUAAAGGUACGUGUUGGUGAUUGAAAUACCAAAAAACCAAUGUGUGAUACAUGCAAACUUGAACCAUCGCCUAUUUCAACUUCAUAUGUCCCACCAUAUUCCGAGUGCAUUGAGAGGUUUGCCAAAUCACUCGUAAUAUUAUGUGAAGCAGCAGAAUCAAUGAGCCACUUAGUGUUCUACUGUUGAGAGGUGGAAACACAAUUUGUAGUAACUUCGGGAAAAGUCGCUCGUGGACACUACUUUGCAAUGUGACCCAAUUGGUCACAAAGUUGACAUUUGGGCUGGAAGCAUCGUUGGCCGUUGUACCGGCCCAAGUUGUUUUGCUUCCUAUUAUCACGUGGCCAACUAUUUGGGUGUGAUUGGGCCACGGACCCUUUAAAGAUAUGUUUCUUAUUUGGACCCCGAGAGGAGUUGCCGUUGCUUCCAGAUGAAGAGGAAGAACCUGGACGCCGGUUCGUGUAGUUGGUCGUGGCUAGUAGCUGCUGUGUUGAGACUUCAAAGGUGAGGGAUUUUUCCCGAGCUCUGAUGGGUGUAGCAAUCUCCCGAUAAUCAGAGCCGAGACCAUUGAGAAUGUAUAAAGUGAGAUCAUCAUCUGAAAUUGGAUGAUCAAUGAGUGCUAUUUCAUCACCAAUAGACUUCACUAUAUGCAGGUAUUCCUGGAUGGUUUGAUUGCCCCGUUUCAUUAGUGUUAUUUCCUCUUUGAGUUGCAUUGCCCUAGUUCGAGAUUUGCUAGCAUAGAGGGUGUUUAAUUUUUGCCACGCUUCCUAAGAAGUUUUGGCAAACAAAAUGAGAGGGGUGAUGGUCGUCGCAGUGGAUGCUAGGAUAGUACUUAGGAUUAGUUUAUCCUGCUUUACCCAGGGUGUUUUUUGAAGGGAGGAUGAGGGUUGGUCAGCUUGAUGGGGGCAAGGUUUUUCUCCAGUGACGUAGUUGAGGAGGUUGUACCCAAUUAGAAGAGCUUCAAAUUGGGCACGCCACUAUGGGAAGGUUGAGAGAGUAAGUUUGUCAUUGAUUUGUGCUGUAACGUUGAGAGCAAUCAAGGGGAUAUCUGUUGGGGAUGAAGAAUUUUGAGUGGGGUUAGAUGAAAUGGGGAUCAAACUCUCGUGAGAGAAUGGCUGCUCUGAUACCAUGAUGGAAAUUCAACAAGAGCAACUGAUGGAAAUUAGAGCAGUGUUUUAUUUCUCUGUAAAAAUGACAGACUUUACAACCUCCAUUUUACAAUGACUUGCGUACAUUUAAAUUCAAAAUCUCCUAUCUCUAUUUUAGGAAAUUAGCCAACAUUUUGCAUAUAUAAAAAUAGCAGGCUAAUUUCAUUAUUAUACAAAAAUAACAUUUAUAGAAAAUUGAUUGACUGUUACAGGCAUAAUUAUUGGCUAUCUUGCUGGUUUUGAUUCUUGGCUUGAUUUGUGGUGGCUGAUUUUUGCUCCUUGGCUUGAUUAGUGAAAUCUUCCUUCAUAUCAAACCUAAAUUACCAGUCUUCUACUUCGCAAACUAAAGCUCAUAUGCUCUUGCUCAAAACCAUGAGGAUCCAAAAUUGUAUAAUUCAGUCCAGAUACAAGAAUCUAAAAUAGUUAUUCUCCAGAAGCCUCUAAUAAAAACCCUUAAGAGAUGAGCAGGUACUCUCAGUUUGUUCAUUAACCUGGAAACUUAUGUAACCUUCUCCACUUUGUCCUCAAUGGCUCUCCCUCAUAUAUCCAGGUUCUCUUUAUGCACGGUUUUGACUAAUUAAAUAGGAGUAAAGUAGUCUCUAGAAACAAGGUAAAGGAGCUCGUCUGUCUUUAAGACUUCAUUACUAAAGCUUAGAGCGGCUCAUAGGCAAAGACAGCGAAGAGUUCAGUGGGGGUGAGACAAAUAGAUGAGCUUAAUAAGUCAAGAAACUGAAAAAUGGAAAACAGACGUGCAGGAGUAGGAUAGUUGAGAAGUGAAAAUGAUAAUAUAGACUGCAUAAAGGCGUUAUAGUGUUCACAAACUUCUUGGACCACAAUACUAUUGGGGACCAUCUAAUUCUCAAGCUAUGAACCAACCACAGAAUUUUGCAAACUGGCUUUAAAACUUAUUAACCAUUCUUUUGUAUUAUGAUUUACUCAUAACAAAUUCAACGCUGCUGAUUAUCAGAAGACUAACUGAAGUCUACAAAUACAAUCAUCACAUCACAACAGAUUCUUUCAUUUGGUUAUCCUUGACACAACCCCUUCUACACCGCCUCCCAAUGUAGAAUUUAGGAACAUCCCUGAAAUUUCCUUCAUCUCGUGGCCAACAAAAUGAAAGCAACAACUCUAUAUAUUAUUGUUGAACAUGAAAUAGUAAUUUUUAAUAUGAAUAUUUUCCUUAAAUACAACUCCGUGACACUUGGACUGGACUACAAAGUCACAUGACCAUCUUCAGGAGCAAGCAAUAGAACAGCCAGUCCUAAGGCCCCCAAACUGCCUUACACUUCUGCUAUAUUGUGAACGCCUAUUCUGAACGUUAAUCAUACACUUCAUCUUCUAUAAAUGAAAUUCUGUGAAUUUUUGAAGGAACAGAACAUACAUUUCCACUUACCUAGUCUCAAUGUCAUAAAGUUCCAGAUAUUCACAUGAAACACAAAACGUCAUGAAUCCAACACAAUCCAUACAUUUGCAUAACCAAAAUUCUCAAGAAUCCCAAUCCACAAAUUUCAUCAUCUCUCCCUAUGAAGAAUGUUAACUCAUCUAAAAAUUUAAACUGUCAUAGAUGUGAUGCACAUAUUUAUUUAAAUGUUUUCUUCAACACACUCAUAGUAAUAGGCCCAACGAGUGAUCAUUUUUCAUAAUUAGGUCUUUAGGAUCUAAUACAAUGUUAAUCGUUCCAUGUAAAAGUUUUAUUAUCUGUACAAGUCUAAAUAGGAACCUUUUUCAUUCCAAAUAUGUAAACAAUUUCAAAUGAUUCCUUGUAAGUUGAAUCUUUGGUACUCAAAAAAUAGGAAAUAGGUCAAUCUAUCUAUUCUAUCGAGUAUGGAGUCAACUGAAGUUGCAGACAAAAAGAACUUUAACUAUGCCACAGAAAUCCAAAUCCCAAACCCAUAAUCACCCUUGGGCACAUCAAAACCAACAAAAUACAAAUAUAUAACACCCAGGACUAUAAUAAACAGCAAAAUAAAGAGUAUAUAGGCAGAUUUUUUUACCAGUUCUUCCACCCGCUCCAGUAACAAGAACAGUACUUUUGUUCUAUUAUGUUGACCUCGUUUUUGGUUACGUUGAUGUGUGUUUGAAUUGUGAUGCCAA